This 541-nucleotide long non-coding RNA is filed under the name Heterocephalus glaber (naked mole-rat). RNAcentral describes it as "lncRNA (ENSHGLG00100033892.1)". The record is from RNAcentral. Lineage: Eukaryota; Metazoa; Chordata; Mammalia; Rodentia; Bathyergidae.
GACGUUACAUAUGAUGUAGGAGCCUGAGAAUUCCAGAAGAUUUGGGAAAUGUCCAUGGAAAUAGCUCAUCCAGUACUACCUCCACCUCACACCUUUGACUACCAAAAGCAAGUAGGGAGGACUGUCUAUGGCGAUAAUACCCCUCAUCAACAAGAAAAUGAUAGAAUUCUAAAAUUGGAAAGUAGGCUUCUCUAAAGUACCUUCAGAUCCCACUGGGUUAAAACUGUGAGAAGAAUGGGAGCAGUAAGGAUACACAGAUAUCUGAGAUCGAUGGUGAACUGAAGCAGAGCAGUAAAAGCCAAAGAAAGAGAACAAAUGCCGAGGCUGUGCACAAUAAAUAAAAUUCACUGGCUGCUUGGAAGACACAGCGGUUGAGUGUGUCCGAUGCUGAGUAAUCAGAGACCAACUGGUUCUUUUUGUGUCUAAGAAUCAAUUUUUGUGACUAAGAAUCAAGAAGAAAACGGCUGCCAUUUGUGUGGAUGAUAACCCCAGAGAGAAAUGAUUACUGGGAAUCUGCUACUUCUUUUAUUUUUUCAAACAA